ACGGAAGGCAGCAGCUAAGAAUAUUCCGCAAUGGGGGGAACCCUGACGGAGCGACGCCGCGUGGACGAUGAAGGCCGGAAGGUUGUAAAGUCCUUUUAUGACAGAGGAAUAAGCGUGGGAGUGGAAAGCCCAUGUGAUGGCUGUAGGUCAUGAAUAAGCACCGGCUAAUUACGUGCCAGCAGCCGCGGUAACACGUAAGGUGCGAGCGUUGUUCGGAAUCAUUGGGCGUAAAGGGCAUGUAGGCGGUCUGUCAAGCCAGGCGUGAAAGCCAGGGGCUCAACCCCUGAACUGCGCUUGGAACUGGCGGACUGGAGUCACUGAGGGGGAACCGGAAUUCCUGGUGUAGGGGUGAAAUCUGUAGAUAUCAGGAAGAACACCGAUGGCGAAGGCAGGUUUCCAGCAGACGACUGACGCUGAGGUGCGAAGGUGCGGGGAGCAAACAGGAUUAGAUACCCUGGUA
This 460-nucleotide ribosomal RNA is filed under the name uncultured Treponema sp. RNAcentral describes it as "partial 16S ribosomal RNA". It matches the Rfam family "Bacterial small subunit ribosomal RNA", at positions 341 to 792 of the family's 1533-position model. Lineage: Bacteria; Pseudomonadati; Spirochaetota; Spirochaetia; Treponematales; Treponemataceae. The record is from RNAcentral.